UUAUCAGUCAUGCAUAGCAUAUCAAUAAGCGGAGGAAAAGAAACUAACAAGGAUUCCCUUAGUAACGGCGAGUGAAGCGGGAAGAGCUCAAAUUUGAAAUCUUCAAGGUUCUACCUUGACGAAUUGUAGUUUAUAGAAGUGUUUUCUGUUAGUAGGAGUGGCAAAAGUUCUUUGGAAUAGGACAUCAUAGAGGGUGAGAAUCCCGUAUUUGGUCAUUCCUCCUAGCGUUGUGAUACACUUUCAACGAGUCGGAUUGUUUGGGAAUGCAGUCCAAAAUGGGUGGUAAAUUUCAUCUAAAGCUAAAUAUUGGCGAGAGACCGAUAGCGAACAAGUACCGUGAGGGAAAGAUGAAAAGAACUUUGAAAAGGAGAGUUAAACAGUACGUGAAAUUGUCAAAAGGGAAGCGUUUGACACCAGUGUUGUUUUUUCCGAAAAUCAAUUACGAAUGUUUUAUUUUUGAGGAGUUAUGACUUCAUCGGCUUGCUCCUUUCUUUAUGAAACUUUCUUAAUGCACUUUUCGGUUAACAAGUCAACAUCAAUUUCUUUUGUUGUAAAAGGGUAUGAGGAAGGUGGCUUUCUUUUCGGAGAAAGUGUUUAUAGCCUUGUGCCUCUGCAAUCGGAGAGAUUGAGGUCUGCAGCGUAGAUCCUUCGGGGUUAGAUACAUUUGUGCUAAGUUAUAGCUUUUCAUAGACAACUUGUUGACUAUGUUUAGUCUUGUAGCUUACUCGCUUAUCGCUAUUUUACCUACGCUUAGGAUGUUGAUCUCUCACAGUCGAGC
RNAcentral lists this ribosomal RNA (778 nucleotides) under uncultured Neocallimastigales. RNAcentral's name for it is "partial large subunit ribosomal RNA". It matches the Rfam family "Eukaryotic large subunit ribosomal RNA", at positions 21 to 645 of the family's 3401-position model. The record is from RNAcentral. Lineage: Eukaryota; Fungi; Neocallimastigomycota; Neocallimastigomycetes; Neocallimastigales.